Molecule: ribosomal RNA, 440 nt
Filed under: uncultured bacterium
Lineage: Bacteria
Description: partial 16S ribosomal RNA
Rfam family: Bacterial small subunit ribosomal RNA
Source: RNAcentral
CCUACGGGAGGCAGCAGUGGGGGAUAUUGCUCAAUGGGGGGAACCCUGAUGCAGCGACGCCGCGUGGGGGAUGGAGCGUUUCGGCGUGUAAAGCCCUAUUGGUAGGGAAGAAAAUGACGGUACCUGACGAAGAAGCCCCGGCUAACUACGUGCCAGCAGCCGCGGUAAUACGUAGGGUGCAAGCGUUAUCCGGAUUCACUGGGCGUAAAGGGGGCGUAGGCGGGAUAGCAAGCCAGGGGUGAAAACCUGGGGCACAACCAUAGGACUGCUUUUGAAACUGCAUGGCUAGAGUAUGGGAGAGGCAGGCGGAAUUCCUGGUGUAGCGGUGAAAUGCGUAGAUAUUAGGAGGAACACCGAUGGCGAAGGCGACCUGCUGGACUGUAACUGACGUUGAGGCCCGAAGGCGUGGGGAGCAAACAGGAUUAGAUACCCGAGUAGUC